GAUGAACGCUGGCGGCGUGCUUAACACAUGCAAGUCGAACGAUGAAGCCCAGCUUGCUGGGUGGAUUAGUGGCGAACGGGUGAGUAACACGUGAGUAACCUGCCCUUAACUCUGGGAUAAGCCUGGGAAACUGGGUCUAAUACCGGAUAGGAGCGUCCACCGCAUGGUGGGUGUUGGAAAGAUUUAUCGGUUUUGGAUGGACUCGCGGCCUAUCAGCUUGUUGGUGAGGUAAUGGCUCACCAAGGCGACGACGGGUAGCCGGCCUGAGAGGGUGACCGGCCACAAUGGGGCAGAGAAACAGACGAGACUCAUACGGGAGGCAGCAGUGGGGAAGAUUGCACAAUGGGCGCAAGCCUGAUGCAGCGACGCAGAGGGAGGGAUGACGGACUUAGGGUUGUAAACCACUAUGAGUAGGGAAGAAGCGAAAGUGAAGGUACCUGCAGAAGAAGCACCGGCUAACUACGUG
This 466-nucleotide ribosomal RNA is filed under the name uncultured bacterium. RNAcentral's name for it is "partial 16S ribosomal RNA". It matches the Rfam family "Bacterial small subunit ribosomal RNA", at positions 28 to 507 of the family's 1533-position model. The record is from RNAcentral.